CCUUCAUAGGAGUGCUAGCUUGCGUCAAAGGGUCUAGAUGGCUGAUCCAAGCUCUUCUCUUUGGAUCUCCCAAACUCCUCUAGAUCAGAAGAUAAAGCUUUAUAAGGAGGUGGUGGUAUGGAAGAUUGAACAAAGCUCACUCUUAUAUUUUUCUUCUUACAAAAUCUAAAGUUGAAACCCUAGACCUUACACCUCACGCC
This 200-nucleotide long non-coding RNA is filed under the name Elaeis guineensis (African oil palm). RNAcentral describes it as "long non-coding RNA (EGUI_LNC063168)". Lineage: Eukaryota; Viridiplantae; Streptophyta; Magnoliopsida; Arecales; Arecaceae. The record is from RNAcentral.